AACGAACGCUGGCGGCAUGCCUAACACAUGCAAGUCGAACGAGAUCUUCGGGUCUAGUGGCGCACGGGUGCGUAACGCGUGGGAAUCUGCCCUUUGGUUCGGAAUAACAGUUGGAAACGACUGCUAAUACCGGAUGAUGACGAAAGUCCAAAGAUUUAUCGCCAGAGGAUGAGCCCGCGUAAGAUUAGCUAGUUGGUGUGGUAAAGGCGAACCAAGGCGACGAUCCUUAGCUGGUCUGAGAGGAUGAUCAGCCACACUGGGACUGAGACACGGCCCAGACUCCUACGGGAGGCAGCAGUGGGGAAUAUUGGACAAUGGGCGAAAGCCUGAUCCAGCAAUGCCGCGUGAGUGAUGAAGGCCUUAGGGUUGUAAAGCUCUUUUACCCGGGAUGAUAAUGACAGUACCGGGAGAAUAAGCUCCGGCUAACUCCGUGCCAGCAGCCGCCGUAA
RNAcentral lists this ribosomal RNA (449 nucleotides) under uncultured bacterium. Its description in RNAcentral is "partial 16S ribosomal RNA". It matches the Rfam family "Bacterial small subunit ribosomal RNA", at positions 29 to 523 of the family's 1533-position model. The record is from RNAcentral.